ACGUGAUCUGCACGGGCGCAGAUGUAGGCACCGGUCCGAGUGCCUGCCCUCUGUCCCCGCGGCUGGGUCUCGUCUGCUCCGGUUCCUGGGCUCCUAAUUCUUGGUCCAGCUUCUUCCAGUCUGCGCGUCUGUUGUUCCCAGCGCUCUGCGAAGCCUGAAAAGGAGGAGCAACCUGUCCAGAAUCCCCGCAGGUCCGUGAAAGUACGGGGCUGCAUGGACAGGGGCCCACAAGGGUUGAGAGUGUGGAGGGCCCGGCCAGGGCCGAAUUGGGGCCUUUCCCAUUCCCCCACCCACAUGAACACACACCUUACCAGGCUGAACCAGUGCAGAGAAAGUGGCAGAGCCUGUCAGGCAAUGGCUGGCUCACGUGUGUGGGAGGAGUGGCGGGCUACGUGGUGGGC
Molecule: long non-coding RNA, 401 nt
Filed under: Homo sapiens (human)
Lineage: Eukaryota; Metazoa; Chordata; Mammalia; Primates; Hominidae
Description: HSALNT0285023
Source: RNAcentral